Mycena polygramma is the source of this 93-nucleotide non-coding RNA. The record is from the annotation of a GenBank genome assembly. NCBI's taxonomy places the organism in Eukaryota, Fungi, Basidiomycota, Agaricomycetes, Agaricales, Mycenaceae.
GCGGACGUGGUGCACGGUGCAUUGCUGCAGUGCGUCGUCAGGAGUACGAAUGAAAGUUGAGCAGCUGUCGGGGUUCGAAUCCCCGUGUCCGCG